AGUUAAUGAACUUGAUAAAGUGUAUAUUUUGAAUAUAUAUUAUAGAGAUAAAAAUUUUCUAUUAACUU
RNAcentral lists this transfer RNA (68 nucleotides) under Leptopilina boulardi. RNAcentral describes it as "tRNA-Ser". Lineage: Eukaryota; Metazoa; Arthropoda; Insecta; Hymenoptera; Figitidae. The record is from RNAcentral.